RNAcentral lists this long non-coding RNA (425 nucleotides) under Vulpes vulpes (red fox). Its description in RNAcentral is "lncRNA (ENSVVUG00000016691.1)". Lineage: Eukaryota; Metazoa; Chordata; Mammalia; Carnivora; Canidae. The record is from RNAcentral.
CUGGGGGUUAGGAGGAGGCCGGGGCAGGGGGAAGAGGCUGAGGGCAUACCCGCCCCCUCCCCCUCGCAGCCGCCCGGUGGGGUCUCCCUACCGCCUAACUUAGGGGCCGAAGCGGAGAGCGUGAGCUCAUGGCCCAAAAACUGAAGGAGGAGUUCAGCAGAGUAACUGGAAGGACAGUGAUGGAGGUCUGCACUUGUGGACGUGAAAACAUCGUAUGCAAAUUAAAAGGACUUCAAAACUCUAGAUCACAGUCAUUUAUCAGGAAUAAGGCAGCUUUACUUUUUACAGGAAAUGGAAAGUAAAACCUCAACAAAUGGAUGCAACCCUUCAGAACGGACUCUCAGAUGGGCACUGCUGAAAAUUGAUCUGGUUACUUGUCAAUUGCAUUUUUCAGACAUGACAUCAGCAACAGAGCUGUAGCCAGU